UUUCUGCUACUAUUUUCAUUUGGGUUGGAGAUACAGAUUUUUUAGCUGAAUCGACAUCUUCCAAACAUUCGUCGUUUUUUGGACAUACCUUAAAUUUAUUUUGCUAUUUUAAGUAGGACGUCUUCCAGUUGAGCUAACAUACUGCAUUGAAGAUUUGUAUUAGAGUAAGCUACAAUUCCACCUUUUUCCAGGAAACUAAGGUAAGACAUUUUAUAUAUGUACUUUCUUGAUGAAUAUAUAAGUUAUAAGUGCAUUAGAAUUUUUGUAUCAUAAUUGUUAUUGUUAGUUAUAUAUACGCGAAAUAGACAAAUACAAUUCUUUCUCUGCCCCUUUCCUUGCCGCAAAGACCACCAUGAUUGCACUCAGGUGCACUAGAAAAACUAACUCAUGACAGCAUAUGUAAUUUAAACUAAAUUAGUACCUAACCUAACAGGCUCUGUUACAUUUCUAUUUUGUUUCCUUCUUUUCUCUUACUUCCCUAAAUUUAAUUACUUUUGUUUUUUUAAUGUUUAGUUCUAAUCUUAUCUUUUCAAAGGAUCAAUACUUGUCGUUAAUAAAGAAGUCAUCUGUUGCGCUAACGUAUUUUCGUCUUACAACUAUACCACCUUAGUUUAUUCUAACCAUUGUUUCCUCCAAUUAACUUACAACUGUAUAAACUUUAUGUCCAUUAAUGUAAUUCCUCUGUAAUUUUCAUUUUUUUUUGUGGCUACUUUUCUUAAAAAUCGGUGUUAUCUCUCUCUUUUCGUUUCUUCUUUUUAUAUUAAAGUGCAUCACUAUCCUUCCAUCACUUCCACCUAAGACUUUUUCAAAAUGUUUAAACCAUUCACUUUAAUCUAUCUUCUCACUUGUUUUCCCAGGUAUUUUUUUUAUAUAUUUAUUCACAUAUUUGUUUGAAACCAACUAAAACAGUUAUAUUACAGAUUAAAUUAGUUUAUAAAGGUUUAAAUGAAAGAGUAUACUUUAUAAACAAAGUUUAUGUUUUAUUUUAUGAACAAAUUUUUACAUUACUAUGUUUAUGUGUUGUAUACUUUUUAAUUAUAGGUAUACAGUCACCUUAAAAAUAACACCAAAGUUCUUAAUUAACUUAGUAUAUUUUCUUAAACAAUUUUUAAAUUAUGGGUCUAUUUAAAGCAAUAUAUUAACAAAUUUAAUGUACAUGAAAUAUAAUGAAAAUGUGUUUACUACAAACGCAGUAGUGAUUUUAAAUCACUCAUAAGAAAAUAACAACCUUUAUAGAAAAAUUAUUAAAUCUAAAAAUAAAAUUCAUAAAA
Long non-coding RNA from Agrilus planipennis (emerald ash borer), 1271 nucleotides. RefSeq lists it as uncharacterized. NCBI's taxonomy places the organism in Eukaryota, Metazoa, Arthropoda, Insecta, Coleoptera, Buprestidae. The record is from RefSeq and is a predicted model, not a curated record. The transcript is spliced from 2 exons.